RNAcentral lists this long non-coding RNA (819 nucleotides) under Prunus dulcis (almond). RNAcentral's name for it is "sRNA ncRNA". The record is from RNAcentral. Lineage: Eukaryota; Viridiplantae; Streptophyta; Magnoliopsida; Rosales; Rosaceae.
CCACAUGUAAUUUUUUUUUUUUUUUAAAGGAUGGGUUUUAAUGGUCUAAACUCCAACGGUCAUGACUAAUAAUUGUUUAAAUGGUGGAAAUACAAUUUUGCCCUGCACACAUUUAUCACGUGCAAGCCAACCCUCAGUGACCAAAACUGUAAUAAACCCAAGAUUUAGUUACCCCUUUUGUAUCAGCUGAAAGAAGUGGAGUGUUUCCAUCAUUCAAUAAUGUCUGAAAACGGUGUAAUGCUUCUUUCUGAGUUUGAUCAUGGCCAAAGAUAACCAAGGCCCGCAAGAUUUCUGCUCUCAGAAGUGCACUGAAAUGAUCCUCUCCAGGCAUUGAUUCCCAACCUAGUUUUCUGCAUGAAAAAAUUUCAGAUAUGACAUCUAAGUACGGUAGCAUCAAAGUUUUCUUUGGUGAUCCUAAAUGAAGUAUCAGCCACAUAAACCGGAACAUUACUGCAAGCAUGAGCUCAAAGAGACUGGAAUACAUCAUGAGGACAAACACUGUUCAUUUUAGCACGUAUAUAGGUACGUAUAUAACCCAAUAAGUUUAACAAGGAAGGUAUUACGAUAUCGAAACUGUAUUAGAGUUGUUCUUACUCUGCUGGAAACAGAAGGAGAUUGAUGAAAAAUUGUUUCAAAUCAUUUGCUGAAUCUGGGAUGGCCUCACUUGAUAUUUUGACGACAUUAUAACAAACCUGUUGCAUAUAUAACACAAAAGGUGAUGCUACCAAAAAUAGUUGGUGUAAUUGAUGAUCACCAACAGAAAUUUAUCCAGAAUAUCAUUUUAUGUAGGAACUUAACGAUUUCUGAUUUAAUAUGAAG